This 887-nucleotide long non-coding RNA is filed under the name Gouania willdenowi (blunt-snouted clingfish). Its description in RNAcentral is "lncRNA (ENSGWIG00000006527.1)". Lineage: Eukaryota; Metazoa; Chordata; Actinopteri; Blenniiformes; Gobiesocidae. The record is from RNAcentral.
ACUGGUCGGAAUCUUUCUCUGUGUGCCAUGUUCAUCACUCCUUUCUGUCUCUUUAUCGUUCUUUGUUAUUAUUGACAAGGGUUUUCUCCUCAGGAAAGUGAUGAAGAUGCCAGAAAAACAAAUGAGCUGAGAGUAGAAACUUCAACAAUAAGCCAUGAUAGUGAUGAAGACAGCCAAACAGAAGAGCAGAGAGCAGAAACUUUUAAUGAAGCACAGGUGAAACGAAACUACAACCAUUACUCUUUUUCUGUCUCUGAAACUACACAACUUUCACAGUCUUAUCUCUUCUUCUUUUUCUGAUGUUUUUGAUGACUAAUGGACUUUUGUUCUUCCUCUAUGGUCCAUCAUGUUCACAAAAGAGCUCUCAGAGCAAUGAUGACGCUGGCAGCCAAACAGAAGUGCAAAGAGCAGACCUUUCCACAUUGGAACAGGAAAAUGUCCCUCAAGACAUGGAUGUUGUUCACUCCCAUGGACUAACGGAAGGGCAGAGUUUCAUCUCCAUUCUCUCCUUUGCACUGAAACACAACACUACUGGUGUAUUAACUGAAGAUCUGCUGACACUUCUAAAGUUACAUUCUGCUGGGACAAGUGCAGUUCCAACAACAAAAGACAGUUUACACGGAGGACAUUUCUUUAUCAGUAUUCCGUUAAAGGAUCAACUUAAAGAUAUUCUUGAAAAUCAGGAAAGAACUUCAGCAUAUUGUUCACCUGUGGAACACCCACAUCAUUCAGAGAAGCAGAAAUGCAGUUGCACCAAGUGGCCGGCCUCACAUGAUGUACAUGCUUCCUCAGCUUUUUGGGGAAAGGACCAUCUCAAACAUGCAUCUGUGCAAGCAGUACAAACAUGCAGAGCACAAUGCAUACAACGAUGGACCUUACCCAUGUGA